UUCAAAUAGUUUAAUUAAAAUAUUGAUUUGUGGAAUCAAAGAUAUAAGAUUUAUUUUGAA
Molecule: transfer RNA, 60 nt
Filed under: Apomecyna saltator
Lineage: Eukaryota; Metazoa; Arthropoda; Insecta; Coleoptera; Cerambycidae
Description: tRNA-His
Source: RNAcentral